Molecule: ribosomal RNA, 490 nt
Filed under: uncultured bacterium
Lineage: Bacteria
Description: partial 16S ribosomal RNA
Rfam family: Bacterial small subunit ribosomal RNA
Source: RNAcentral
AUUGAACGCUGGCGGCAUGCUUUACACAUGCAAGUCGGACGGCAGCACAGAGAAGCUUGCUUCUUGGGUGGCGAGUGGCGAACGGGUGAGUAAUAUAUCGGAACGUACCGAGUAAUGGGGGAUAACUAAUCGAAAGAUUAGCUAAUACCGCAUAUUCUCUGAGGAGGAAAGCCGGGGACCUUCGGGCCUUGCGUUAUUCGAGCGGCCGAUAUCUGAUUAGCUAGUUGGUGGGGUAAAGGCCUACCAAGGCGACGAUCAGUAGCGGGUCUGAAAGGAUGAUCCGCCACACUGGGACUGAGACACGGCCCAGACUCCUACGGGAGGCAGCAGUGGGGAAUUUUGGACAAUGGGCGCAAGCCUGAUCCAGCCAUGCCGCGUGUCUGAAGAAGGCCUUCGGGUUGUAAAGGACUUUUGUCAGGGAAGAAAAGGCUGUUGCUAAUACCGACAGCUGAUGACGGUACCUGAAGAAUAAGCACCGGCUAACUACGUG